RNAcentral lists this non-coding RNA (76 nucleotides) under Elusimicrobiota bacterium. Its description in RNAcentral is "Elusimicrobia bacterium c-di-GMP sequence". It matches the Rfam family "c-di-GMP-I-GGC riboswitch aptamer". Lineage: Bacteria; Pseudomonadati; Elusimicrobiota. The record is from RNAcentral.
GGCGAUAACGGCAAACCCGCCGCAAGUCGGGGGCGCAAAGCCACGAGCCCCAUGAGGGGUGGUCAGGUUGCCGAAC